GGGACCAUAGCUCAGUGGUAGAGCGCGCGACUCAUAAUCGCUUGGUCGAAGGUUCGAAUCCUUCUGGUCCCA
This 72-nucleotide transfer RNA is filed under the name bacterium. RNAcentral's name for it is "tRNA-Ile". It matches the Rfam family "tRNA". From Rfam's summary of the family: Transfer RNA (tRNA) molecules are approximately 80 nucleotides in length. Their secondary structure includes four short double-helical elements and three loops (D, anti-codon, and T loops). The record is from RNAcentral.